GAUGAACGCUGGCGGCGUGCUUAACACAUGCAAGUCGAGCGAGAAGUUUUGAAAAGAUUCUUCGGAUGAAAUUUAAAAUGGAAAGCGGCGGACGGGUGAGUAACGCGUAGGCAACCUGCCCCAUACAAAGGGAUAGCAUUUGGAAACGAAUAUUAAUACCUUAUGAAACUUAACUAGUGCAUGCUAGGUAGGUCAAAGAUUUAUCGGUAUGGGAUGGGCCUGCGUCUGAUUAGCUAGUUGGUGAGGUAACGGCUCACCAAGGCGACGAUCAGUAGCCGACCUGAGAGGGUGAACGGCCACAUUGGAACUGAGACACGGUCCAAACUCCUACGGGAGGCAGCAGUGGGGAAUAUUGCACAAUGGGGGAAACCCUGAUGCAGCAACGCCGCGUGAACGAUGAAGGCCUUUGGGUCGUAAAGUUCUGUUCUAGGUGAUGAAAACUGACAGUAACCUAGGAGAAAGCCCCGGCUAACUUCGUG
RNAcentral lists this ribosomal RNA (479 nucleotides) under uncultured bacterium. RNAcentral's name for it is "partial 16S ribosomal RNA". It matches the Rfam family "Bacterial small subunit ribosomal RNA", at positions 28 to 507 of the family's 1533-position model. The record is from RNAcentral.